CGAGAGAUGCCUGAGCGGUUAUAGGAGCGGCCUCAUAAGCCGUGGCAGAAAUGUCUCACUGGUUCGAAUCCAGUUCUCUCGACCA
Molecule: transfer RNA, 85 nt
Filed under: Novimethylophilus kurashikiensis
Lineage: Bacteria; Pseudomonadati; Pseudomonadota; Betaproteobacteria; Nitrosomonadales; Methylophilaceae
Description: tRNA-Met
Rfam family: tRNA
About the family: Transfer RNA (tRNA) molecules are approximately 80 nucleotides in length.
Source: RNAcentral